UACGUAGGCAGCGAGCGUUGUUCGGAAUUAUUGGGCGUAAAGCGCGUGUAGGCGGCUUUGCAAGUCGGGUGUGAAAGCCCUCAGCUCAACUGAGGAAGUGCGCCCGAAACUGCAGAGCUUGAGUGCCGGAGAGGGUGGCGGAAUUCCCCAAGUAGAGGUGAAAUUCGUAGAUAUCGGGAGGAACACCGGUGGCGAAGGCGGCGACCUGGGUCGAGACUGACGCUGAGGCGCGAAAGCGUGGGGAGCAAACAGG
This 253-nucleotide ribosomal RNA is filed under the name uncultured bacterium. RNAcentral's name for it is "partial 16S ribosomal RNA". It matches the Rfam family "Bacterial small subunit ribosomal RNA", at positions 524 to 776 of the family's 1533-position model. The record is from RNAcentral.